GCAACCAUCGCGUCGCGCGCCCAGCCGUCGCGCCGCCCACUCGCUGCCGCGCCUGCACUAUCGCCGGCCAGCACCUCCUCCUUCUCUUUUUGGCGGAGAAUUCUUUGUGGGCGACUUUUGAAUUCGUUAAAGUGGCCUAUCAGUUUGUUUACACAAGUCUCUAAGGAUCAAUAAGCAUUGUCCAUCUGCAGGUUUGAAGAUGUUGCAUCAUUGGGAUCGGGAAUAGAGAGCUUGUAUUUAGUUUUGAUUUGCUAAGUUAACUUGGGUUUGUUAAUUGGGACUUUAAACUUGUCGUACUAUUUAUAUUUCCUUAUUUUCGUUGGAUGAUUUUUGGGACUAAACCUGUAAUCGAUUACUUAUAAACCUAAAGUUAGUUUUAUGUUUUCCGCUGCAAAAUUCUGAAUAAGCCGUUACGUUUUCACACGGGCGAU
Molecule: long non-coding RNA, 431 nt
Organism: Spinacia oleracea (spinach)
Lineage: Eukaryota; Viridiplantae; Streptophyta; Magnoliopsida; Caryophyllales; Amaranthaceae
Exons: 3
Source: RefSeq, a predicted model, not a curated record